Molecule: transfer RNA, 73 nt
Filed under: Anaerolineae bacterium
Lineage: Bacteria; Bacillati; Chloroflexota; Anaerolineae
Description: tRNA-Asn
Rfam family: tRNA
About the family: Transfer RNA (tRNA) molecules are approximately 80 nucleotides in length. Their secondary structure includes four short double-helical elements and three loops (D, anti-codon, and T loops).
Source: RNAcentral
UCCUCAGUAGCUCAAUCGGCAGAGCGGUCGGCUGUUAACUGAUAGGUUGUAGGUUCGAGUCCUACCUGAGGAG